Molecule: long non-coding RNA, 1443 nt
Filed under: Vulpes vulpes (red fox)
Lineage: Eukaryota; Metazoa; Chordata; Mammalia; Carnivora; Canidae
Description: lncRNA (ENSVVUG00000007681.1)
Source: RNAcentral
GUUUCCUCAGGGACACACAAAACCACCGUUCCCAUAGCAACACUGUCUUGUGAUGUCAGAAAUCAGGGCUAGGCCUUGAAUGAUAAAACAAAAGCAUGUUGGCUAGCUGGCAAGGAAAGCGUGGUGAAAAGGAUGGUGCUAGGCUCCAAUGAGAGGAAGCACUGCGUCUGUACCUACACACCAUGUAAUUGUUUUAUACUUGAGAUUUCAGAGAAAACGAGAUAUUGAUUUAAGGGGAAGCCUCAAUGUAGAAGCAGUUGGAGUAGCUGUUGAGUUUGCAGAUACUCAAGUGCAACCACUAACAAAUGGUGUUGAAGAAUCCAGCAUCAACAUAUCUGCCAAGAUCUCUGAAGUGACUAAACUUAGGCAGAGAAGCGAUGGGCAGAGCUGCACAGAACCUGAAUUCUGGUGCUGGUCUUGCCACCAAUAGCUGCCUAAGCCUUGAAAUGUUGCCCUGUCUGUCUCCAGAUCUCAAGAGGAUAGAACUCGACACUUCCAGGGUUUCCAGCCUGAGCCCUUCACAGAAUUUUCUCCAUGCUACACCUGGGGUUUUGCCCCACGAUGGAUCUUCUGAGUGUCCCCAAUUUGGACUCCUCUAACCUGGACUUGACCCUAACAGAGCUGUUCGUACAUGCUGUUCUUUGGUGUUGAUUAGUUGUUUCUUGGAAGGAUGACUCGGAGCCAGCCCAGCAGGAGGAUUGUUCUCCGGCUUUGAUUCCCAAUGGUGUGUGCCCAGUUGGAUUUUGGAAUCGCUUGGGACUGGUGGGGCUCCUUUUUGCUUUCUUGUCUACUUUUUUGAAUGUGAAUCUCUAUAACUAUUGUUCCAUGCCUGUUUCAACAUUAUAUUUCAGAAGCAGAUAACCUGUUUCAUGAGUUUCACAGGUUCACAUGGAGAGGAACUUUGGCCCAGGGUGGAUCUUGCCAAGAGCCUCACUUCAGACCUGAUUUAGAUUAUGAGAUUUGGGACUUUUAGACUGAGAGAGAGAUAUUAGAUCUGAUGCUAUAAAGGGUGGUUGCCUUUAGGGGCCUUGGGAUGGUGAUAUAUUCUGCAUGUGGGAGACAUGAAUCCUUGGAGAACACGAUGCCCACAGGUUGGGCUGAGGACCCACACAGGGUCCCAUAGGACCAGACAAGAAGGUUCUUGGCUUCAGAAGGAUGGAACUCAAAUGUGAGCCAGCAGGAAGUGAAAGCAGAGUUGAAGAUGGAGACAGAGCAGUACAGAUGGACUCAGAAAAGAAAGGAGAGGGAUCCCUGGGUGGCGCAGCGGUUGGGCGCCUGCCUUUGGCCCAGGGCGCGAUCCUGGAGACCCGGGAUCGAAUCCCACAUCGGGCUCCCGGUGCAUGGAGCCUGCUUCUCCCUCUGCUUGUGUCUCUGCCUCUCUCUCUCUCUCUCUCUGUGACUAUCAUAAAUAAAUAAAAAAUUAAAAAAAAAAAAAAGAAAAGA